Molecule: long non-coding RNA, 1151 nt
Organism: Salvia splendens (bonfire salvia)
Lineage: Eukaryota; Viridiplantae; Streptophyta; Magnoliopsida; Lamiales; Lamiaceae
Exons: 5
Source: RefSeq, a predicted model, not a curated record
UCGUUUUGGUGUUGGAACAUGUAUGGUGGUGUUAGGAGUUAAACGUGCAUCUACGUUGUCUUUUGAAAAUGGUAUUCUCUGAGAUUUAAGAUAAGUGCUUGUUCUACUUUAGUUUUAGUUGUUAUAUUUCUUAAGUCUAAUUUUUCCCAUUAUCUUUUUAAAAGUAUUUUAUCUUAUGUCUUUUCAAAAAAAAUAUAACCUUAAAAUCUUUAAACUAAGUUGUUUUCCUUUCUUCAAAUUAAUUAAGUUGUUCUUUUUAAAUUGUAAUCCAUGCAUGUCGGUCACGAUCGCCGCGUUUGUGGUACCCCUUGUAUGGGCGGUCGUGACAAGAACUAUCAAAUAAGCACAAUUUUUUUGACUUCUGUUUCUUCUUUUCAGGUGCACAAAAUCAGAAUCUAUCAAUCAUAAAAGUGGAUGAGAAUCAAGACCAAUAGAAAAAAGUUGAAAACAAAGAAAAAAAGAGAGGAAAGAACAGAAGAUAUCAACACCAUUAUCAAAGGUGCACAAAAUCAGAAUCUAUCAAUGAUAAAAGUGGCUAAGAAUCAAGAUCAAUAGAAAAAAGUUGAAAAACAAAGAAAAAAAGGAAAGAACAUAAGAUAUCAAGACAUCAAAGGCAUACCAAGAGAAAAAAAAUCCUAAUAAGAGAUGAGCCACCUCUCAUUUUCAAGGAUGAAAAGAGAGAAAUACUGCUGCAACCAAUAGAAAAGAAGCAGGCAGGAGAUGCACGCCUAUAAACCUCUUGUAAUCUGCAAAUAUGUCUCAAUGUGAAGGAGAAGGAGAGAGAAUAAUAGAGGUAAUCAUUGCACAAAGAAGAAAGAGAGAGGAUGCACGCUUAAACCUUUAAUAUUCUACACUCUACAAUGUUGAAAAGAGAAGAGGAAGAAGAAAGAACACAUAAUAGGAUUCCUUAAUAUUCUAUAAACACAUAAUUUUAACAUCUUACAAUCUACAAUCUGGAAAAGAGAAGAAGCAGAAUGAAUGAAUGAAUAUAAAUUAGGUUACCUUAACAUAUAAUUACACACAUGCUUGAAGACUUUAAGAUUACACACCAAUCUGUGCAAAACAGAAGAGGAAGAAGGAGCAAAACAAAUGUAACGUAAUUAAUGUAUACAACUUUAAGCAGUCUAUUAGUUUUGAGAUUAAGAUACUAA